UUUUUGUCAGUCAACUGUCAUGACUGUACCAGCGGUCAAACUGUCAUCAGUCAUAUACAUCGCGAUAUGACCGCGUUGUUGGCUAGAAACACCGAAUUGAUCACAGUCGGCACUGCUGCUAUAAAUAAAGUCUUGACUCACGAGAUAACCAUUCCACCAGCACCAUUGAUGUAUAACAGAUCAUAUUAUCACUAUCUGACGUGACAUCAUUUCACCUCGGAGAUCUUCAAGAUUGAGAUCCAAAACCUCCCAAAGACAUUUUGGAUUUGCGCAACUGAAGAUGUUGACUGGUCUUCAACUGAAACCCGAGAAAGUCAAGGCAGUCAACAAGGCAACCUAUGCUUUUGUGACAUUCAGCUGCCAAGAAGAUAAGGAGGAGGCCUUGAAACUACUCAACGGACACACGAAAGGACAAGUGCUGAGAACCAAGCUCGCCAAGCCAGUUGAGGACCCGUACACUAAGAGCCUUGCUCUGAAGAGAAGUCAAGAGGAAACUGAUGGAAACACCCAAGAAGCUAAGAGGAGGAAGGAGGAGGACAGCUUACCAGUAGAAGAGAGGUUAAACAACACAGUGACUCCACCAUGGAACCAGCCGUAUGAGGACCAGCUAUCCACCAAACAGACCAACACCAGGGAGUUUUUGAGGAAUUUAUCCAAGAUGGUGCGACGGAAUAUUGGGGAGAUGUCUCCCUGGCUGAAGCAACAAAGCCAGUAUUAGAGAGUUAUCGCAACAAGUGUGAGUUUACCAUCGGCAAGAGUGUAGAUGGCAUCGAUAACACUGUUGGUUUCCGGCUUGGUGCUUACGAAGGU
This 810-nucleotide unclassified non-coding RNA is filed under the name Patiria miniata (bat star). RNAcentral's name for it is "tRNA (uracil-5-)-methyltransferase homolog A-like, transcript variant X3". Lineage: Eukaryota; Metazoa; Echinodermata; Asteroidea; Valvatida; Asterinidae. The record is from RNAcentral.